GACCAUCAGUGGUUAAGUUAAUAAGGGCGCACGGUGGAUGCCUUGGCACUAGGAGCCGAAGAAGGACGGCACUAACACCGAUAUGCCUCGGGGAGCUGUAAGUGAGCUGUGAUCCGGGGAUUUCCGAAUGGG
This 132-nucleotide ribosomal RNA is filed under the name Planococcus maritimus. RNAcentral's name for it is "partial 23S ribosomal RNA". It matches the Rfam family "Bacterial large subunit ribosomal RNA", at positions 1 to 122 of the family's 2925-position model. Lineage: Bacteria; Bacillati; Bacillota; Bacilli; Caryophanales; Caryophanaceae. The record is from RNAcentral.